Molecule: non-coding RNA, 2718 nt
Organism: Equus caballus (horse)
Lineage: Eukaryota; Metazoa; Chordata; Mammalia; Perissodactyla; Equidae
Source: RefSeq, a predicted model, not a curated record
GCGGGCGGGGCGGCCGUCGCGCUCGCUCCUCCGAGGAAGGGGCGCCAGCUGAGUGUACCCGAGCGGGUGCAGGGUGUUUCUUUACGAGACGUGUACGUGUUGGCGUUUUUUCAAGCUCUCCUAGGAGCGACACACACGUCACAGGCUGUUUGGAAGACACGUGCGGUAUCUGUUUCAGCAUCCACAUCGCGUGUACAAUGUUCCAGGCCACCGCUCACCACUUUACAAACGUCAACUCACACAUGGUCGCAACAGCCCUGGGAAGGGGUAAGUGCUGUGAGUUUUAUUUCCAUCUUACCAAUGGGGAAACUGAGGCACUUGCCAACACCUCAGAGCUAGGAAAACACAGAGCCGGGAAUCAACCCAGGCAGUCUUGUCACUGAGUGGCCUUCGAUCUCCACGUGGUUCCCCCGCCCUGGCCCUGCACCAGCCCCUGACCUGUCCCGGAGCACGACAGUAAAGGAGCGAGGCUGACAGGCUUCAGUCCUGAUCUCUGACUCCAUGUAAGGACCACAGCGCCUGCUGUUGGGGUAAUAACGCAAGGUGGUACCCGGUUCUGUUUAACCCAAGCUCCACGGCACCUGGGUGUGGAAUUGCUCUGUUUGCUUGAAUCAGAAAUGUGUUUUGAAGACUAUACCUUUUUAGAGCUGCCAUAAUGAGAGGAAAUAUUAAAUUUAAUGGGAUAAAUCACCUAUAGGACUUGGCACGUAACAGAGCGUAACACGCAGCGGCCAUUAACGUCCUUUUCAGCCUCCGGUGUGUGCCACCUCUUCCUCUAGUCACGCCUGCGGCCCAGGGCACGUCCUCCCCGUGCCUGCGGGACGCUCUCCACCGCCGUCUCCACACUUCACAGCUUUCCUCCUCCCCCGCCCGGCCUGUGACCAUGCUCUCCAGCCUCCCCGAGGGCGGACUACCUGCCUGGUCCUGCUGAUGGGAGCACGGCCAUGUGAGGUGCUCCGGCCAGUGACACGUGAACGGAAGUGGUGCUGUCAGCACAGACGGACCUGUAAGAAGCCCGUGCGCGGCUGUCUCGCGCCUUCCCCCAUGCUAACACAUCCCCCAGGGGUCCAGGCGGAGCUGCCUCUCACCCGGGAGACUGUAGAGAGACCCCAGGCGAGCGCUGGCAGAUUUGCAGAGGAUGUGAAGCCGCUGAGACUCUGGACUUGUUUGUGUCACGGCAUAGGGCCGAUGCUCUAGGGGGUAGGACAGAAGUCCCUAAGGCGCCUGCAGGCCCUGCAAUGUCUUGACCUGAAGGUCAAGAUGUCUUGUGCCCUUUCCUCUCCUUUCCUCCUCUGCAUCCAGACAGGCCCCCUGCAGUGCCCCCAGGUGCCACGCUCCCUCCCCAGAGGGUCCUCGACGUGCUGUUGCCUGCCGGUCCUCCAGUCUCAUGGGCAUUCGUGGCGAUGCCGGUCCCGACAGCCACGGGCUGCCUCCCUGCUGGGGUCACUCGGCUGAUGCUAGUUUUGCCCUUGACUGCACAUGUCACGAGAACGGUCACCUAGACUUUACUCGCUCCCCACCCCAGCCCCUGGCAGAGUCUCUGGCACCUAACAGGCACUCAAAAAUAUUUACUGAGUAAAUGACUAAUAGAGUCAAUAUAUAGUCAUGAUUACAGGAUGGAAGUUAGAGCCAGAUGCCUUGGAUUCGAAUCCUCCCCUGCCGCUGAUUCGCUGUAUGAUCUGGUAUAAAUAACCGAAGUUCUCUCUGCCUCAGUUUCCUCAUCUGUAAAUGGGGAUAAAACAGCAGCCAUCUCAUAGGGUGGCUGUGAGGAUUAGGCAGACUCAGACAUGUGUGCUGUUUAUUCACUCACUGUCUCUGUCUCCAAACCCCCUCCACACUGUUCUGUGGGGCUGGUGGUUUUCUCCCUACAUUUUCCAGACUCCGCGGUGCUGGGGGCUCCCGUUAGAGACACUGAAAGGAGCUGAGGAGGAGGAGGGAAGGGGCAGAAGGGACUCCUCCAGCUUCAGUUCCUGUCCACAGUGGUGGCAGGCGCAGAGGACGCCAGAUGCUCCUCUCGGCUCCUCACCUCCUCAGCAGCACUAAUGCUGUUGGCUGGGUCGCUCUCGGUGGUCCUGGUGCCAGCCGCCCCACGUCCUCUCAGAGGGCUGAGUACCAGCCAUGUGGUGCCCCCAGCCUCAUGGGGAUCUCAGGGAAGAUCCAAGCAUCAGCUGUGUGGGAUGCCCCUCGGAGCUCCUAGGUCCUGGAAACCCACCUGCGCCCUUUUCCCAGCUCCAUGGUGGCCGGACUGUGGUUGUGCAUAUCUAGGCUGCUUCAGGGCCCCUGGUAGACAAGCGAUCGGACCCUAUUCCAGAUUCCUGAUUGGGCCCUAAUGAUUACACCAUCUAAAGCGCUCAGAACACCACCAGGCAUGCAGUAAGCACUGCGUGAGUCCUGAGUCCUGUAUUCGUCUAAGGAGGUGAAAAAGCCAACACUGCCCACUGGAACUCCUUGAAGGGUGCCAUGUGCCCGACGUCUGUCAAGGCGAGCGCACACCCUGGUGCCGAAUCCCCGGCCCACACCCGUCACUGUCACUCGGAUGCAACACCCAGGCGUGGUGUAAGCGAAUGAUGACGACAGCUUCCGUAGCAUUAGCAAUUUUUAUUUUUCCUCUUUGUUGCAUAGGAAAUGCAGUACUUGCUUCCAGUAAUCGUAUUGUAAUGUGAGAAGGUGGUAGCACUAACGGCUGAAUACAAGAGUUAAACUAACCCACACCAGCUC